ACAAACUACUUCAUCAUCUUAUUUCAAAUUAUCAGAAUGGCUAGAAUGGUGUCAGUUGGCUUAAUCCAGCGCCGAUCCACUCUAAAACGGACUGUUUAAUAAUAAAUAGUGGAAAUGCAGUGAGAGAGAGAGAGAGAGAGAGAGUGAACCGAAUGACGCCUUAAUUUGUUAUCGUAAUCUUUGGGAACGAUGCCGCUGCGCCGAAAAGAAAACAUUGUAAACGCGAUUAAAAUACUCCGGGGCGUGAUUAUCGAUAAUUAAACAAUCGGUGUUUCCGUAGUUGUUAGAGACAGAACAAAGAUAAUCACGCGAGAAUCAAAUGUUUAUCCUAGCUGCCGGCUUCUUUUAGUCUCGUUCGGUCGGUGUUCCACAAGGAACGAAAUUUACAACCGACGUAAAUUAAGAGGUCAUUUGAAUUGUACUGUUAACACGCACAAGUUAACACCACAACAUCAAAGUCGCUUAAUUGGUAAAACCGAAAAGAGAAAAUUAAAAUUUACCAAACGAAAUAUUA
Megalopta genalis is the source of this 514-nucleotide non-coding RNA. The record is from RefSeq and is a predicted model, not a curated record. NCBI's taxonomy places the organism in Eukaryota, Metazoa, Arthropoda, Insecta, Hymenoptera, Halictidae.